AAAUUGAAGAGUUUGAUCAUGGCUCAGAUUGAACGCUGGCGGCAGGCCUAACACAUGCAAGUCGAACGGUAACAGGAAGCAGCUUGCUGCUUUGCUGACGAGUGGCGGACGGGUGAGUAAUGUCUGGGAAACUGCCUGAUGGAGGGGGAUAACUACUGGAAACGGUGGCUAAUACCGCAUAACGUCGCAAGACCAAAGAGGGGGACCUUCAGGCCUCUUGCCAUCAGAUGUGCCCAGAUGGGAUUAGCUUGUUGGUGAGGUAACGGCUCACCAAGGCGACGAUCCCUAGCUGGUCUGAGAGGAUGACCAGCCACACUGGAACUGAGACACGGUCCAGACUCCUACGGGAGGCAGCAGUGGGGAAUAUUGCACAAUGGGCGCAAGCCUGAUGCAGCCAUGCCGCGUGUAUGAAGAAGGCCUUCGGGUUGUAAAGUACUUUCAGCGGGGAGGAAGGUGUUGUGGUUAAUAACCGCAGCAAUUGACGUUACCCGCAG
This 494-nucleotide ribosomal RNA is filed under the name Salmonella enterica. RNAcentral's name for it is "bacterial SSU rRNA". It matches the Rfam family "Bacterial small subunit ribosomal RNA", at positions 1 to 484 of the family's 1533-position model. RNAcentral also lists the same sequence under 1 other name. Lineage: Bacteria; Pseudomonadati; Pseudomonadota; Gammaproteobacteria; Enterobacterales; Enterobacteriaceae. The record is from RNAcentral.